RNAcentral lists this ribosomal RNA (860 nucleotides) under unidentified marine eubacterium. RNAcentral describes it as "bacterial SSU rRNA". It matches the Rfam family "Bacterial small subunit ribosomal RNA", at positions 527 to 1382 of the family's 1533-position model. The record is from RNAcentral.
CUGGGGAGCAAGCGUUGUCCGGAUUCAUUGGGCGUAAAGGGCUCGUAGGUGGGUUGAUCAGUCGAAUUUGAAAUACAAUGGCUUAACCAUUGAAACGGAUUCGAUACUGUCAAUCUUGAGUGAAAUAGAGGUAAGCGGAAUUCCUGGUGUAGCGGUGAAAUGCGUAGAUAUCAGGAGGAACACCAAAGGCGAAGGCAGCUUACUGGAUUUAUACUGACACUGAGGAGCGAAAGCAUGGGGAGCGAACAGGAUUAGAGACCCUGGUAGUCCACGCCGUAAACGAUGAGCACUAGGUGUGGGAUUCGACCCUUCACUGCUGCAGCUAACGCAUUAAGUGCUCCGCCUGGGGACUACGAUCGCGAGAUUGAAACUCAAAGGAAUUGACGGGGACCUGACAAGCGGUGGAUUAUGUGGUUUAAUUCGAUGCAACGCGAAGAACCUUACCUAGACUUGACAUGUUAGUGAAUUCUGUGAAGCAGAGACCCUCUAUGGCUUGCCCAUAGAUACUAUCACAGGUGAUGCAUGGCUGUCGUCAGCUCGUGUCGUGAGAUGUUCGGUUAAGUCCGACAACUAGCGCAACCCUUAUCCUUAGUUGCCAGCACAUAAUGGUGGGGAGUGUAGGGAAACUGCCCGGGACAACCGGAAGGAAGGUGGGGUCGACGUCAAGUCAGUAUGUCCCUUACGUCUAGGGCUACACACGUAAUACAAUGGAAGGUACAAAGGGUAGCUAAGCCGCGAGGCCGUGCCAAUCCCAAAAAACCUUCCCAAGUUCGGAUUGCAGUCUGCAACUCGACUGCAUGAAGCAGGAAUCGCUAGUAAUCGCGCAUCAGCAUGGCGVGGUGAAUACGUUCCCGGGUCUU